Molecule: transfer RNA, 84 nt
Filed under: Actinomycetota bacterium
Lineage: Bacteria; Bacillati; Actinomycetota
Description: Actinobacteria bacterium (freshwater metagenome) tRNA-Leu
Rfam family: tRNA
About the family: Transfer RNA (tRNA) molecules are approximately 80 nucleotides in length. Their secondary structure includes four short double-helical elements and three loops (D, anti-codon, and T loops).
Source: RNAcentral
GGGCGGGUGGCGGAAUUGGUAGACGCGCUGGCUUCAGGUGCCAGUGUUCGAGAGAACGUGGGGGUUCGAGUCCCCCCUCGCCCA